AGGAGCAUUGUUAAAAUACUUUGGAGGCACAGAAUCAGCCCAGAGCCAGUCCACAUCCUCAGGCUCAACUGUGAGUGAUGAAUCAGGUCCAUCUCCAUCCUCUACAGUGCUCUCUCACACACCUCCAUCCUCUGUGCCCACUGUCCCCUCCAUGUCUGAAACCACAGCUGAUUUAUCUACAACUUCCACCACAACGUCCCCUUCACACCAUGGACCAUCAUCAGCUCUGCCAGUUGACCCAGCUGAGUGGCAUUCUUUCCUCUCAGAUUCAGACAGG
Entelurus aequoreus (snake pipefish) is the source of this 277-nucleotide long non-coding RNA. RefSeq lists it as uncharacterized. NCBI's taxonomy places the organism in Eukaryota, Metazoa, Chordata, Actinopteri, Syngnathiformes, Syngnathidae. The record is from RefSeq and is a predicted model, not a curated record. The transcript is spliced from 3 exons.